GUUUGUUCACAGAGCUAAACACUUGGAAAAACAUUUUGGAAAAAAAAAAAUGAAAUGCUUAUUCAUGGGAAAUCUUUACUCCACCCAGGAAAAGAUAAAUGGCACUUAAGAACUACUCUUUAAGAGUGAGAUGUUUAUUGAAAUAAGGGAGGCUAAUUGUCAAAAAUGAUGAGAAACAAAUGUGAAAAGCCCUAUGUUUGGAGCUCUGGCCACAUGGAGCGUUUAAACAAGCAUAUGCUGUGUUUCAAAAGAAGAGACGUAGUUUGAAAGUUGCCAUUUUUUGGAAAAGAAAUGUUCAGUGAAAGAGAGAGAGAGAAAACAACAACAACAACAACAAUCAUGGCUGCUAACAGCAGUUCCAGAACAUAGAGUAAGAAAGAGAACAUGGCUGCCAAUGUUCUCGUCUCUGAAAGGCUGAAACUCCACUUUGAUAUCAGUUUACCUUUUUAACAAUAUUUUCAUGACAAACCAGUUCUGCUGGAGACAUGUGUUAAAGGGGGUGAUGUGUGAUUGCUGCUAGAGAUAGGAUCACGUUCUCUAUAGAUAUGAGAUGUGUAGUUCUUCUUGGUCCAGUUCUCAGUCUUUCCACUGUUUUGCCAUGAAUUCCCAGAUCAGUCUAGAAUAGAGUUGCUCAAAGUUGGCACUGUUGACAUUUUAGGGAGAAAAUGCGUUAUUGGGAAAGGGCUGUUCUGUAUGUUGUCGGAUGUUUAACAGCAUCCUGGCCUCUACACAUGAGAUGCCAGUAGCAGCCCCCACCCAUUUGUAACAACUAAAAGUGUCUCCAGACAUGGCCAGAUGUCCUCAGGGAGGCGCAAGGAAAGGAGAGAGAAUUUACUGAGGAGAGCUUUUUACAUUUAUUGCUCUAGAUGAUAAAACAUAAAUUUACGGUUCUCAGAUAAGCUGUGUAUUGUAUGUUUACAAAUGUAUUCAGCAAAUGUAUUCAAGCAAACUUCAUGACACCAGAAUAGGGUAAACUUGGUCUUAGAUGGUCCCCAUUAGAAAAGGUCAGUAAUUUAGUAGUACUUCUAUUCUUCUCAGGCAAUAGGCAUUAUUUCUGGUGCCUCUAUAGAUUGUCUACAGCCUACAUGGGCUUUGGAAUCAGACUGACCUGGAUUUUGGUGCUGGCUCCCUCACCACCAGUGUAACCAUAGGCUUAUUAUUUGACCUCUCUAAACCUCAGUUUUCCUCAUCACAAAAGGGAGUCAGUAUUGACCUAAGAGGACUAUUGUAAGGAUUAAAUAAAAUAGCACACCUUCAUAUUUACACUUGGUAAUUCCCUAAUAAAUCAUCAUUUGUUAUGAUGUGGUGCAAUCACAUUCAGGUUCAAUGAAGUAGAGAUGUCAUUUUUCUUGUUUAACCACUGAACCAAUUAUGACUGACAGAUCUCAUUAAAUAGAGCAUGUUUAAAUAACCAUACAGUAGAACCUACAAAUAAUUAGAGCUCUUUCCAGCUUUUAUUUUUGACUUGUCUUUAGUUAUCCUCAUGUUGGAUGCACAUUAGUCACUUGUUUCUGUCCCAUCAGCCCACAGUUUUGUUUUCAGUGGGAGUGCCCAGUGAAAUAAUCAACAUGAACUUAAUUGCAACUUGACAAGCUGCAGAGUUGUUUCAAUAAAUGUGCAACAUGCUGAGCUGUAUGCACUUAGAAGUCAGCAAAUGUUGACCAGUAAUAUCUUAUUUGGGAUCCACCCAGGCCCCAUAACCCAGUGAUGGCAUUCCUCUGAAAUUAGGAAGAGAUUCAAGUUGCUCAAUGCUCCAUUUUAAACAGAAAUACACCAGCAAUAUACCAGCUGCAGGAAAGAGGAUGGGAAAGAGUCUCACAGCAGUCAAGAGCAGACAAUGAUCCAAGUGACAAGAAGACACAGGCCCAUUUGGGGUGUCUCCCAUUCAUUUCUGCUGAACUUUUUCCGAAGACCAUGCUGCUCAGAAUUGUGAAAGGGGACCAAUGACUAUUAUGAGAAACAAAAUAUUCUUCUUUACAAAAGCCUCCCAGAGGAAUAGGGAUGUUUACAGCACUUGGAGAAUGGCCAAGCUGGUGUAUCUUUCAGCACAAAGUGGAGACAUGUUCAAGUCCAGUUCACAGCCUAUGGUUUGUACAUAGGCAAAGCACACCAAAUGUCUCCCUAAAGGUGGUGUUACCCGAAUAGCCCUUUGAAGGCUUCUACCUGGGGAACAUGAUUGCCCAUUGACAAUCACCUCCAUUUGAGAGACUCAUCUGCCUCAAUGCAUUGUGCAACUUCAGGAAGCCUCAUUCGAGGGCCUGAGACAAACAUCUGGAGUGUUCAGCUGAGUCAAACCAACCCUCACUCUCCUCCAAAUGAGAUAAGAAAGGUGUCACAGUGCCAGGGAAGUAUAAUAACAUCAGAAGGGGUGAAACCUGUGCAGAGCUCUGAAGCAUUGGCAGAGCCUGGCCUGGUGGCCAGCAAGAGGCUAAUGGUGCCAAUUACCAACAGAGGGAGCCUGGAGAUGGAGCAGACUCCUGGAAUAUGAUGAUGGAGGAGACUGACUCAUUUUUGGAUAUUUUAUGAGCCUGAAUUGUCCUACCACUGAAGACACAGCAUGAGGUAGCCAACCCAUCCCUGAGACUGCUGUGGGGGCUGAUGUCUACCUGGCUGGGCUUGUUGCAUGGAUUCCACACUGUUUUUACUAUUUACCCGCUAGUUCCUGUGGCUCUCAAUCAAUAACUUCUUUUUUGUACUGAACCUUCUCUAACAUGGACAAGGUUAAAAAGAGAAAGUGGACCUUUUCAGAGUCUAAAAGUGCUAUUGUUCACCACAUAGAACAUUUAUCUGAGAUUGUGGCUGUAUAUGAUAGGAUGUGGAGAAACUGGACAAAAAAAUAAAAUCUGACAACACAUUACAAGAGUUACAAAAACCAGGAAUGCAGAGCACUGGCUUAUCAUCUGUUGACUCUAGCAUGACCAGCUCCAAAUUUGCCUUGUGUCAAUGCAGCACAGCCCCCAACUACCCCAUAGGAAGGCAGACACGACAUGGAGACUAAGUCCUGUUUGGGUUGUUGUUUUCAUGAUGCUAAAAGAGGAUUUCACCCUGACUUAAUUUCUUUAAACUUUUUUUGAUCAAAUUCCAGGUAGCUACAGCAAUUCCACACUCAGCCAACUGAAUUGCAAGAUAAUGCAAAUAGUCUUCUACAAGCUGUUACAGUCCUGAGAGCAAUGGUUUCCUACUAAGCACUGUGGACUGUUUAGAACAGCCUAGUAAGCCUUUGAUUAGCAGUCUGGAAUCUCUUGUGGGUGCAGUACAACUCUUGAUAUAAAAUAUCACCUACCCAAUUCAAUUUGUUUGGAAUCUAGCAUGGGACUACUUGAGGCAGAAGUCAUACUCUAAGGAAACACAUUCAAAAUUUGAUUCCACAUUUGUAUGAUAUGGUGAAGAUGUUUCUCUAACCUUUAACUAGCUAUAUUCCUCUUAAUUCAAUCAUCUUUUUUGAUAUACCGAUUGGAUCAGGGUCGGCCAGGAAGCUUGCGGCAGCAGUUGCCAUCUCUGUUUCUUAGGAGUAAUCCAUCAGAGGAGACACAUGCUGCUGCUCACAGAAAUAAAUACCAAAAAACAACAUUAAAGGUUCAUCUUCCUUAGGAAGCUACAUGAAGAUGGA
RNAcentral lists this long non-coding RNA (3610 nucleotides) under Homo sapiens (human). RNAcentral describes it as "HSALNT0111872". The record is from RNAcentral. Lineage: Eukaryota; Metazoa; Chordata; Mammalia; Primates; Hominidae.